Molecule: ribosomal RNA, 197 nt
Filed under: uncultured bacterium
Lineage: Bacteria
Description: partial 16S ribosomal RNA
Rfam family: Bacterial small subunit ribosomal RNA
Source: RNAcentral
ACUCCUACGGGAGGCAGCAGUGGGGAAUAUUGGACAAUGGGCGAAAGCCUGAUCCAGCCAUGCCGCGUGUGUGAAGAAGGCCUUCGGGUUGUAAAGCACUUUAAGCGAGGAGGAAGGUUUGUUACUUAAUACGUAACGGAAUUGACGUUACUCGCAGAAUAAGCACCGGCUAACUCUGUGCCAGCAGCCGCGGUAAU